Molecule: ribosomal RNA, 274 nt
Filed under: uncultured bacterium
Lineage: Bacteria
Description: partial 16S ribosomal RNA
Rfam family: Bacterial small subunit ribosomal RNA
Source: RNAcentral
AUACGGAGGGGGCUAGCGUUGUUCGGAAUUACUGGGCGUAAAGCGCGCGUAGGCGGCCUGUCAAGUUGGGUGUGAAAGCCCGGGGCUCAACCCCGGAAUUGCAUUCAAAACUGGCAAGCUAGAGACCGAGAGAGGUGAGUGGAAUUUCCAGUGUAGAGGUGAAAUUCGUAGAUAUUAGGAAGAACACCAGUGGCGAAGGCGGCUCACUGGCUCGAUACUGACGCUGAGGUGCGAAAGCGUGGGGAGCAAACAGGAUUAGAUACCCCAGUAGUCC